Molecule: ribosomal RNA, 253 nt
Filed under: uncultured bacterium
Lineage: Bacteria
Description: partial 16S ribosomal RNA
Rfam family: Bacterial small subunit ribosomal RNA
Source: RNAcentral
UACGAAGGGGGCGAGCGUUGUCCGGAUUUACUGGGCGUAAAGAGCGCGCAGGCGGUCGUUCAAGUCGAGUGUGAAAGCCCCCGGCUCAACUGGGGAGGGUCAUUCGAUACUGAUCGACUCGAAGGCAGGAGAGGGUAGUGGAAUUCCCGGUGUAGUGGUGAAAUGCGUAGAUAUCGGGAGGAACACCAGUGGCGAAGGCGACUACCUGGCCUGUUCUUGACGCUGAGGCGCGAAAGCUAGGGGAGCAAACGGG